Molecule: long non-coding RNA, 730 nt
Organism: Labrus mixtus (cuckoo wrasse)
Lineage: Eukaryota; Metazoa; Chordata; Actinopteri; Labriformes; Labridae
Exons: 4
Source: RefSeq, a predicted model, not a curated record
UGCGGCUGUAUGGUUCAAAGAUGUGCUGGAGAACACCCAGGACCUCCCAGUACAGGUCAAGGUGACAGUUCUGGGGACUCCAGCUGAGGAGGAUGGUGGAGGGAAAAUAGACCUGUUAAAUGAGGGGGCUUUUGAUAACAUGGACGUAGUGUUCAUGGCUCACCCCCUGCAGGAUGACGCUCCCUAUCUCCCCCUAGUGGCUGAACAUGACGUCAUUAUAAAGUAUCACGGGAAGGCGUCUCACGCCUCGGCCUACCCCUGGGAGGGAGUGAAUGCUCUGGACGCGGCGGUGCUGUGCUACAACAGUCUGUCUGUUGAAGUCGGACUGGAGAGUUCACGGUGAACACAUGAUGAGUCUGUGUCCUCAGGUGUGUUUCUCUGAGGAGUUCACUGAGCUCUGGUUUAACUGUGUCAUUCAGGUAUCAUAAAGCACGGAGGAGAGAAACCCAACAUCAUCCCUGCCUUCACUCAGCUGGAGAACUAUCUGAGGACUCCAUCCCGGGCCGAGCUUCUUCUCCUGAAAUCCAAAGCUGAGGGGUGUUUCAGAGCAGCUGCUGAGGCCACUGGAUGUCGGGUUGAAGUGGAGUAUUCGAAAAAUGCUUUUGACAACAUAUUGAGGAAUAAAACUCUGGAGGAUUUGUACGAGAACAAUGGAAAGGCUCUGGGGAUGGAGUUCACCACGGAUGAAGAAGUCCUGAACAACGCUUCUGGUGAGACUCAUUUAAAAAAA